Molecule: unclassified non-coding RNA, 219 nt
Filed under: Hevea brasiliensis (rubber tree)
Lineage: Eukaryota; Viridiplantae; Streptophyta; Magnoliopsida; Malpighiales; Euphorbiaceae
Source: RNAcentral
GAAAUUUCAGAAUUUUGACACGGCCUAUACCCCUAAUAGAUACCAAUGCACCAAUCUCCAAUUGCUCAACUUUUUCAAUUGCAACCAAGCAACCGUAUCUGGCAGCAAAAGAUGCUUCUCCAGAUGUAUCAUUGAUGGCUAUAGGAUCUAGAACGAAGUGCACAAAGAACUUCUUCUUCUUAAAAAGAGACUCCUCUAAGAGUGCCAAGUAUCUUGCUU